Molecule: non-coding RNA, 658 nt
Organism: Paramormyrops kingsleyae
Lineage: Eukaryota; Metazoa; Chordata; Actinopteri; Osteoglossiformes; Mormyridae
Source: RefSeq, a predicted model, not a curated record
CCUUCGGCGCUGUCACGCAGCAUCCUCCCCUCAAGGCUCAACACCCUUGGCUGCUUCACUUCCUACCUGACGGGCAGGAAGUGGAUCAUUUCUAUCUCUGGAUAAUUGUUUUCCUCUUCAACAAUCAAAAAUGGAAUUCACCAGCUGCAGAUGGAUGGUCACACUUCUGCUCCUCUGCCUUGUACACCAUCUCCCUGCUGUCUUCGGCACAGAUUUAUAUGCUCGUCCUGGAGAUACUGUCACACUGCCCUGUGAUGGACCAGCAGAUAAAGACACCAGUGAAGUUGAGGUGUUUUGGAUUUUUGGAGGCACGACUGUCUGUCUGUUUCAAAAUGGGACUUGGUGUGAACAUCCUCACUUUGUUAACCGGACUCAGCUUGGAUCCAUCCGACAGAACAACUUCUCUUUGGUCAUUAAUGGUGUCAGACUGCAGGAUCAGGGUGGAUAUAAGUGUCUGAUCAAUGGUGCAGUGAUGCAGAGGAGUUGCCUUUCUGUUAAAGGUAAGUAAACCCUCUGACCGGCCACCUUAAACCUCAGGAGACCCCGUCUCUGUGGGGCAAACCCUCUUCCAGCUCAGCCUGCCCCCCUGCCCUGCUUGAGCAGAGCCCCCACCCAGAAGAUGAGAGCAGUAGGGACCCCCCCUCUGCAGCUCCCCUCU